UACGUAGGGUCCAAGCAUUAUCCGGAUUGACUGGGUGUAAAGAGUUGCGUAGGUGGUUUAUUAAGUAGGUAGUGAAAUCUGGUGGCUCAACCAUUCAGACUAUUACCUAAACUGGUAGACUCGAGAAUGUUAGGGGUAGCUGGAAUUUCUAGUGUAGGAGUGAAAUCCGUAGAUAUUAGAAAGAACACCGAUAGCGUAGGCAGGCUACUGGGACAUUUCUGACACUAAGGCACGAAAGCGUGGGGAGCAA
Molecule: ribosomal RNA, 250 nt
Filed under: uncultured prokaryote
Description: partial 16S ribosomal RNA
Rfam family: Bacterial small subunit ribosomal RNA
Source: RNAcentral